RNAcentral lists this transfer RNA (92 nucleotides) under Sediminivirga luteola. RNAcentral describes it as "tRNA-Gly". The record is from RNAcentral. Lineage: Bacteria; Bacillati; Actinomycetota; Actinomycetes; Micrococcales; Brevibacteriaceae.
GCUGCAACUGGCGGAACCGCGUGCGCUGCCCGGCUGCCAGCUGGCCGAUCAGAUAGCGGACGAGCGGAAGGUUCUGCGCCAUUGCCGCGGUG